This 465-nucleotide ribosomal RNA is filed under the name uncultured bacterium. RNAcentral describes it as "partial 16S ribosomal RNA". It matches the Rfam family "Bacterial small subunit ribosomal RNA", at positions 28 to 507 of the family's 1533-position model. The record is from RNAcentral.
GACGAACGCUGGCGGCGUGCUUAACACAUGCAAGUCGAACGGAAAGGCCCCUUUGGGGGUACUCGAGUGGCGAACGGGUGAGUAACACGUGAGUAACCUGCCCUUGACUUCGGGAUAACUUCAGGAAACUGGGGCUAAUACCGGAUAGGAAUCCUUGCUGCAUGGUGGGGGUUGGAAAGCUUCGGCGGUUUUGGAUGGACUCGCGGCUUAUCAGCUUGUUGGUGGGGUAGUGGCUUACCAAGGCUUUGACGGGUAGCCGGCCUGAGAGGGCGACCGGCCAAAUUGGGACUGAGAUACGGCCCAGACUCCUACGGGGGGCAGCAGGGGGGAAAAUUGCAAAAUGGGCGGAAGCCUGAUGCAGGAACGCCGCGGGCGGGAUGACGGCCUUCGGGUUGUAAACCGCUUUCAGCAGGGGCGAAGCUUGUGGUGACGGUACCUGCAGAAGAAGCACCGGCUAACUACGUG